Non-coding RNA from Phrynosoma platyrhinos (Desert horned lizard), 70 nucleotides. Lineage: Eukaryota; Metazoa; Chordata; Lepidosauria; Squamata; Phrynosomatidae. The record is from the annotation of a GenBank genome assembly.
AGCGGGGUGUCAUGGUUUGAGUGCUGGACUAGAACUCCAGGGGACCUGGGUUCAAAUCCCUGUUCAGCCC